CUCUUAUUAGCUCAAAGGUAGAGCAGAAUAUUUAUAAUAUUUAGAUUCAAGUUCAAAUCUUGGCUAAGAGU
RNAcentral lists this transfer RNA (71 nucleotides) under Lachnellula subtilissima. It matches the Rfam family "tRNA". Rfam says of the family: Transfer RNA (tRNA) molecules are approximately 80 nucleotides in length. Lineage: Eukaryota; Fungi; Ascomycota; Leotiomycetes; Helotiales; Lachnaceae. The record is from Rfam by way of RNAcentral.